This 5312-nucleotide long non-coding RNA is filed under the name Panax ginseng (ginseng). Its description in RNAcentral is "long non-coding RNA (PGIN_LNC004748)". Lineage: Eukaryota; Viridiplantae; Streptophyta; Magnoliopsida; Apiales; Araliaceae. The record is from RNAcentral.
UCUGCCAUAACCCAAAGCCAAAACCCAAAUUGCUUCUCACUCUUUGCCUGCCCAAACCCCAAAUUGCGCCUCCAUCUCCGGCCUAUCCGUGUCUCCCGUCCUUUCGAUGUCCUCCAUGUUCUAACCCUAAUUUUUAUUUCUUUUGAAUUUCCCAAUACAAUAAGAUAUUCAAAAGUUGUGAUAAUUCCGUGACAGAGGAGAUUCGAGUUUAGGGAAGCAAGUCCUUGUUGUGGUUACGAUUGCUUCGUUUUCACUGAAUAAAGUGAUAGAUUUGGCUCGGGUUAAAGCCGAACGGAGAGCUAAAGAAGUUAUUCUGGCCAGGGAGAGAGCUAAGGACGCGUUGGAGUGAUUUUUUGCCCUGACCUCCAAGAUUGAUGAAUUGAUUGACACAUCCAAAAUUGAACCUUUGGCAGAAAAAUUAACUCAAACUUGCCAAAUUGGGGAUGGAGAAGGACGAAAGGAUGAUGAUGAUCUGCUGCAUAAUGGUAUGCACUCUUUGUGAGUUAAUAUACUCUUUAUUUUUUUUAUGUUAUGUGGAAUGGCUUGAACUUUCAGAAUUUAUGUAGAUUAUAUGGUCAGAAUUUUUAGUUCUAGUAUUGAUCAGUUAAUUUGUAUUUGUAGUAUUGACCAAUUGAUUUGUAUUUGUGAUACUAUAGCUCGAUUUUUAAUUAUGAGUUCAGUUUCAAUUUUUAACACAAAUCAGCAACACAAUUGACAUCAGAAUCACAAUGAAUGUGAUUGGUACAGUCGUCCUGGUCGUUGGCCACAUGAGAAUGGCAACGACUUGCUAAAACUCAUCUUUUAAUCUCUAUAAUCAUCCUCUCUAAUAAGCAGACAUCAUAUUUUUUUAUUUUUAGUCAGAUCUAACACCUUUUGUACAACUUCAAUUGCCUCAAACGAAGGCAUCAAAUAGUUUUCAAAAUAAUAAAGCAAAUGUCCCAAAUGCAUAAGCAUGAACUAUCCUGAAUAAAAUAUAUAAGAUGUGCACAUAUCAGAAGGAAAAUUUAAAGUCUGAGUAGAAAUGAAUUUGCUUAACUCAGCAACAACUAAUACAUUGUAGUUUAUUCUAUACAUUUUAAACUGAAGUGGAUAUGCUUGGGUUUUAGUAUUAUUGAUUGCCAAUAAUUGUAGAAUGUAUAUGCUGCAAAUAUUCUAGAUGCUAUAAAAUAGUGAAAAUUAGUGAUGAAGUACAACAUACUUGUUACAAAACCAACUUGGAACAGAUUUUAAUGACUGAUAGUUAAUGUGUAAACUAGGGAUGACAGAUUUUAAUCGUAAAACCAUAUAUAGUUUGGGAUUGGUAGUGGGAUUUACCUUUAGGUCACCCGUUACAACUUACAUGCUACUCGUUUAGUAGGUACAAUUUUAUAAUUUAUAAUUUGUCAUAUAAUGUGCACAUAUACAAUGUUAAAUCUCAAACUUGUGAACUCUUAAUAGUUAAUAGAGAAGCUCUAAAUAAAUCACAAUUUAUUUAAAUGUAUAUUUAUAUAGAAUAUCAUACUGUAUUAUAUAUUUUAUGUUGCAUUAUACUAUAAAUGGGUAUAGAAUGCCUCGGCUUAAUGGAUUAGAGGGACGGGAAUGGGUAGCAAAAUAAAUUGUAGCUACGUUUAGAUAGGGCAAUAAUUAAAGACAUGAAUAAUUUAAAAUCAGAGUAAAGUGAAUGAAUAAUUUCAAAAGCAAUGAAGUAGGUUAUUUAAGUUUCUCUAGCUCUUCUCAAUUAAUAUUUUUGUUGUGGAUGAAUAGAUAUAUUUCCAAUGCUCUUUCUUUUUGAUGCUCAUAUAUGAAUAUGGGUACAGUAUGAUAGUAUUUUCUUUCAUAACUAUGGUAGAUUUUGAAAUCCAAUUAAUUUGUUGCAGCUAAUUUAUAUCAUGUAGAGUAGUAGUAUAAGAUUUUUUUUAUAUGCCAAUUAAGAUGUAUAUCUACGUUACUAAAAUCUUACUGAUAUGAGUUUUUUUAGAAUCACCACUUGUGUCAUGAAAUUUUUUAAAAGAUGUACAACAUGAUAGAACUCGAUUACGUAGAGGUUCAUUGACAUAGCAGUUGGAUCAACCAGGUUUUAGUCCUGACUCCACAAGAAUGAGUUUGUUAUUUACUUCUUUAGAGAUGCGGGACCUGAGAAUGAUUGGAUCUCUUGUGAAUUCUUUGACAAUUCUAGAAACAUCUUAUGUUACUGCAUUUGCAAGAGAUUUUCAGUUUAGCCAACCAAUAUUUACAGUUUCAAUUUCUAAUUGAUGAUUAUUUCAUCAUUAACUAAUGUGUAUUCUGUAAUGACCGAGAAAUUCGGAUUUAUUAUAAAAUAAUUUUAUUUAAUUAAAUAAUGAAUAAAAUUAUAUUAUAUGUUAUUAUUAUGUGUUAGCAAGAUGCAUGGCAUUCUAUAACCUAGAUAUGUCAGAACGUCGUAGUAGUUUGGCUACGUGAGGGAAUUAAAGUGUUUGAAUUUCCAAGACGAAAAUAAAAGUUUUUCGAGAAAUUUCUGAAAAACACUAUUCACGCAGUUCUGCUCGAGAAUUAUUUUUGAACUUCCGAGAAAUACGUAAUGAUAGAAUAUCAAGGGAAGAUGGUUUAUGUAAUAAUAAUUCACGUAUGGAAAAUGUAGUUUUUCGCCUGCGGACUUAAUUUGAGAACAUUAGGAAAAGUGAAACGUUAAUGAGUUAAUGGAUGAUCGUAUGAUACGUAAGUAUUGUACGAAGUAAGGAAUACUAGUAUGAUACGAGGUAUUAUACGAGAAUGUAUGAAUGAUGGUAUGUCGUAUAUGUGGUAUAAGUAUACAAGUUAGAAUACGAGAUUAAUACUUAUACAAUACGUUCUAAGGCUCUAAGCCGUAUGUAAUGGACUAGUAGAAUUGUGUAGGAAGUUGUAAAGUCCAAUUGGGAUUAUGAUAAAUCCCAAUGCUAAUCUAUGUUAAGGCCCAAGUGUUUGUUGAAGGAAAGCCCAAAUCAUAUGUUAUGUUAAUUAAACCUAAAGCCCAAACUAAGAAUCCAAUGGGUAAGCAUGACCCAUGGGGCAACCCAUGUGGGCCUCAUAAUCACAUGGGUGAUCUUGGUGCCAAGUAAGAGUUAUGAUGGCCAAGCAAAGGAUGUGAUGAGCAAGUAAAUUUAAUGGCUAAGUAAUGACUAGUAAGGAGGUUUAGUAAGGAGGUGGGGUGGCUUAUUAACCAUUAUGCCCUAACCUUGGAAAUCCUAUAAAUAGAGAGCUAGAUUAUUCAUUUGUCAUUUGUUAUUCCACCAACAAACAAUUAAGUGCUUAUUGGUUAGAGAGAAAAAGCUAGAAAGCUAGAAAAGUUAGUCUUUUAUAGUUGAAGAAGAAAAUCAAGUGAUCAUCAAAGGUAAUGAUCCUACAAUAUUAAUCUUCCAUCUCUUCAAAUGUAGGUUGAUAAAAGAAGUAUUGAUUGAUAGAGAUGUAUGCUAAGAAGUAAUAAGAAUGGCUAAACAAAGGACUUAAAUCAUAAUAAGCCAUGAAUAAGUAGUCCAUACCUAUAUAAGUUAUAAACUUAUAAAGAACUAAUAAGAACUUAUCAUGUAUAUAAGUUAAUGAAUUAUGUAUGUUAAGAUGUUAGUAUAAUGGAAUGAAUCCAUUUGAAACAAUGAACAAAUCCUAAGUAACGAAGUUAUGCCGGAAUUCACACGAUUAAACGAUAAUCAUCGAAAUCGUAAAAUUCUCAGAAAGGAAGUCGAAUUUUGACAUUGAGCUCGAAAACAUUGGUUUUCGAUGGGGACAAGUCUUAUUUGGCAUUAUAGAGUUGCGGACUCGAAAUGACUUAAUUCCGACUUAGAACGAAGAAACGAGCGUUGAACGUUCACGAACGUUUAUCGUUUUCAUUAAAAAUGAACUCAAAGUUAAUUCCGAGUUAACGGAUUCAAAAAUGUAAAAUUCUUGCAUGAACACUUAGAGUAUGUGAUUUAUGAGCUAAUGGCUUUUGAAUGAGCCAAUUCGGACUUGAAAUGAACAAUUUGUGAGUCCGGGAAGUUCACUAAGUAGAAAAUCUGUCAAGACUAUCUGGUGCACAAAGCUGGCGCUGCGGUGCCAGCACAAGGCCAAAUAGGUGGCGCUGUAGCGCCAAGCAAUGCCAUUACCUACUGGAGUUUCGCGCCGUAACGCGGCUAACUGAACUAAGACUAGCGCCGCAGUGCCGAGUCCGGACCUUAGCUGCUGAAAAGUGGCGCCGUAGCGCGGUUUAAAGAGUAGAAGAUGGCGCCGCAACGCCAACACUAUGCAAGACCUAGACAUGAAUGCUUUUGAAUAUAAAAAGAAGGAGGUAAUUGAUUAAUGGACAUUUACAUCCUUAAAUAACUUAAUGUAAUAUCAAUUAGGAUGUUGUAAACCUUAAGUAAUACACUAAAGGUUGAAGAUAACUCGAAUGUGAACAUAAGAACAAGGUAAUGUGAUAAACUUGAACCAAUGUUAAACAAUCUAAGGACCAAUUAGAUUCAGAAGAAGGGUAAGAUACAUUAGGAACUAUGCAUGUUUGUUCAUAACCUAAUGUGGUAUGUUAUGUGAUUAUAUAUUGUAGAGACCUUAAAGACUCAAAGAGAAUUUGUAUUGACUGUAGAAGACGCUAAAGGCAAGUAUUCUGACCCUUGUCUGAAUUCUUUGGAAAAGCUUUGUAAUUCAUGUACCUUACGCAUGAAUUGAUGCAUGAUGAAGUCAAAGCCAAUUCAUUCGGCUAGACUUAAGAUGUUUUACGGAUUUCUUAUAAUCUAUUAAUGUUGGUAAGUUUUGCCAAACUGUGUGGUUUUCAAAAUAAUACUGAGUAUGCAUGAAUAAAAGUUUUGUCGUCAAACGACAGGCACGUGAGGUUGCCAAACCUUAAACGUACAUACAUUUAAAGAAAUUAGUGUUGAUCACCAUAGAGUACUAUAGGCUGAUCACCUAGACGUGCUUGUAAGAUAUGCAGGACUUACGGACUUGGUGUCGGGUUGUCCUUUUUAAAGAAAGUAUGAAAUGCUCAAGGUCUUGGACCGAGUUAUAUGUUUAAUGAAUGCUAUUCAUUGUGAAACGUUUUGAAAGAAAAGAAGUGCUAUUUUGAAUUAUCGAUAGUACUUCGUAACUAUUGUUCAGUUAUUGAAGAUAUACGAUUCCUAUGUUUCAAGCAUGCUGUUUAAUGAAAUUGUCAUACAUGAUGAGCUAGUUAUGCUCAUUCUUGCUUGAACCAUAUGAAUGCAGCUAAGACCGAACAGACUGAAGGACCUAGUAAGGAUAAAGGGAAGGAUAAUGCAUACCGUUGAAUUGUUUAUGUAAUAGUAUAGGUUUAAUGUUGUAAUGUAUAUGAUAUUAUGACAAAGAACAAAUGUAAUGGUUAUAAAGAACCUGGG